This 609-nucleotide ribosomal RNA is filed under the name uncultured archaeon. RNAcentral describes it as "bacterial SSU rRNA". It matches the Rfam family "Archaeal small subunit ribosomal RNA", at positions 314 to 923 of the family's 1478-position model. The record is from RNAcentral.
UCCAGGGCCCUACGGGGCGCAGCAGGCGCGAAACCUUUACACUGCACGACAGUGCGAUAGGGGGACUCCGAGUGCGAGGGCAUACAGUCCUCGCUUUUGUACACCCUAAGGUGGUGUACGAAUAAGAACUGGGCAAGACCGGUGCCAGCCGCCGCGGUAAUACCGGCAGUUCGAGUGAUGGCCGAUCUUAUUGGGCCUAAAGCGUUCGUAGCUUGCUGGUCAAGUCCGUCGGGAAAUCGACGUGCCUAACACGUCGGCGUCCGGCGGAAACUGACCAGCUUGGGACCGGAAGACUCGAGGGGUACGUCCGGRGUAGGAGUGAAAUCCUGUAAUCCUGGACGGACCACCGAUGGCGAAAGCACCUCGAGAGCACGGAUCCGACAGUGAGGAACGAAAGCUGGGGUCUCGAACCGGAUUAGAUACCCGGGUAGUCCCAGCCGUAAACGAUGCCCGCCAGGUAUGGCGCAGGCUACGAGCCUGCGCUGUGCCGCAGUGAAGACAGAAGCGGGCCGCCUGGGAAGUACGUUCGCAAGAAUGAAACUUAAAGGAAUUGGCGGGGGAGCACUACAACCGGAGGAGCCUGCGGUUUAAUUGGAUUCACGCCCGGAA